This 505-nucleotide ribosomal RNA is filed under the name uncultured bacterium. RNAcentral's name for it is "partial 16S ribosomal RNA". It matches the Rfam family "Bacterial small subunit ribosomal RNA", at positions 28 to 507 of the family's 1533-position model. The record is from RNAcentral.
GACGAACGCUGGCGGCGUGCCUAAUACAUGCAAGUAGAACGCACAGUUUAUACCGUAGCUUGCUACACCAUAGACUGUGAGUUGCGAACGGGUGAGUAACGCGUAGGUAACCUGCCUGGUAGCGGGGGAUAACUAUUGGAAACGAUAGCUAAUACCGCAUAAUAUUAAUUAUUGCAUGAUAAUUAAUUGAAAGGUGCAAUUGCACCACUACCAGAUGGACCUGCGUUGUAUUAGCUAGUAGGUGAGGUAACGGCUCACCUAGGCGACGAUACAUAGCCGACCUGAGAGGGUGAACCGCCACACUGGGACUGAGAAACGGCCCAGACUCCUACGGGGGGCAGCAGUAGGGAAUCUUCGGCAAUGGACGAAAGUCUGAACGAGCAAAGGCGGGUGAGUGAAGAAGGUUUUCGGAUCGUAAAGCUCUGUUGUAAGGGAAGAAAGGGUGUGAGAGUGGAAAGUUCACACUGUGACGGUAUCUUAACAGAAAGGGACGGCUAACUACGUG